This 98-nucleotide microRNA precursor is filed under the name Pediculus humanus corporis (human body louse). RNAcentral describes it as "microRNA mir-598". The record is from RNAcentral. Lineage: Eukaryota; Metazoa; Arthropoda; Insecta; Psocodea; Pediculidae.
AAAUGAUGAUGAUGAUGAUGAUGAUGAUGAUGAUGAUGAUGAUGAUGAUUAUGUCAAAAAGUGUCGUCGUCGUCGUUUGUCACCUUUCAACUUUUCAU